UCCAAAUCCAAUGGUAUGGGUCAC
RNAcentral lists this non-coding RNA (24 nucleotides) under Arabidopsis thaliana (thale cress). The record is from RNAcentral. Lineage: Eukaryota; Viridiplantae; Streptophyta; Magnoliopsida; Brassicales; Brassicaceae.